This 208-nucleotide ribosomal RNA is filed under the name uncultured eukaryote. RNAcentral describes it as "partial 18S ribosomal RNA". The record is from RNAcentral.
UCGUGGAGUGAUCUGUCUGCUUAAUUGCGUUUCACACAGGGCGUUUAACAUGCAUGUAUUGUUUUGGUGACGCCGCUCUUUUAGAGUGCUGCUUGUCCCUUACAAUCAUGCAUAGACUGUCCCUGCAUGCAACGAACGUGACCGCAACCUCUUGUUGCUUCUCAUAUAACGUAUGAUUAGUUGAAUUUAUUCAUCUUUUUCAUGCCAG